GUAUAAGCGACUAUACUGUGAAACUGCGAAUGGCUCAUUAAAUCAGUUAUGGUUUAUUUGAUGGUACCUACUACUUGGAUAACCGUAGUAAUUCUAGAGCUAAUACAUGCAGGAAGACCCGACUUCGGAAGGGUUGUAUUUAUUAGAUAAGAAACCAAUCCAGCUUGCUGGUUGCGUGCCGAGUCACAAUAACUGCUCGAAUCGCAUGGCUUCACGCCGGCGAUGGUUCAUUCAAAUUUCUGCCCUAUCAGCUUUCGAUGGUAGGAUCGAGGCCUACCAUGGCGUUUACGGGUAACGGAGAAUUAGGGUUCGAUUCCGGAGAGGGAGCCUGAGAGAUGGCUACCACAUCCAAGGAAGGCAGCAGGCGCGUAAAUUGCCCGAAUCCUGACACAGGGAGGUAGUGACAAGAAAUAACAAUACAGGGCUUCUAAAGUCUUGUAAUUGGAAUGAGUACAAUUUACAUCUCUUCACGAGGAUCAAUUGGAGGGCAAGUCUGGUGCCAGCAGCCGCGGUAAUUCCAGCUCCAAUAGCGUAUAUUAAAGUUGUUGCAGUUAGAACGCUCGUAGUCGGAUUUCGGGGCGGGCCGACCGGUCUGCCGAUGGGUACGCACUGGUCGGCGCGUCCUUCCUUCCGGAGACCGUGCCUACUCUUAACUGAGCGGGGGCGGGAGACGGAUCGUUUACUUUGAAAAAAUCAGAGUGUUUCAAGCAGGCAGCUCGCUCUUGCAUGGAUUAGCAUGGGAUAAUGAAAUAGGACUUUGGUGCUAUUUUGUUGGUUUCGAACACCGAAGUAAUGAUUAACAGGGACAGUCAGGGGCACUCGUAUUCCGCCG
This 832-nucleotide ribosomal RNA is filed under the name uncultured eukaryote. RNAcentral's name for it is "SSU rRNA". It matches the Rfam family "Eukaryotic small subunit ribosomal RNA", at positions 63 to 904 of the family's 1831-position model. The record is from RNAcentral.